UUGUUCGUGAAAUCUCACGGCUUAACUGUGAGCGUGCGGGCGAUACGGGCAGACUUGAGUACUGCAGGGGAGACUGGAAUUCCUGGUGUAGCGGUGGAAUGCGCAGAUAUCAGGAGGAACACCGGUGGCGAAGGCGGGUCUCUGGGCAGUAACUGACGCUGAGGAGCGAAAGCGUGGGGAGCGAACAGGAUUAGAUACCCUGGUAGUCCACGCCGUAAACGGUGGGUACUAGGUGUGGGUUUCCUUCCUUGGGAUCCGUGCCGUAGCUAACGCAUUAAGUACCCCGCCUGGGGAGUACGGCCGCAAGGCUAAAACUCAAAGAAAUUGACGGGGGCCCGCACAAGCGGCGGAGCAUGUGGAUUAAUUCGAUGCAACGCGAAGAACCUUACCUGGGUUUGACAUGCACAGGACGCCGGCAGAGAUGUCGGUUCCCUUGCGGCCUGUGUGCAGGUGGUGCAUGGCUGUCGUCAGCUCGUGUCGUGAGAUGUUGGGUUAAGUCCCGCAACGAGCGCAACCCUUGUCUCAUGUUGCCAGCGGGUAAUGCCGGGGACUCGUGAGAGACUGCCGGGGUCAACUCGGAGGAAGGUGGGGAUGACGUCAAGUCAUCAUGCCCCUUAUGUCCAGGGCUUCACACAUGCUACAAUGGCCGGUACAAAGGGCUGCGAUGCCGCGAGGUUAAGCGAAUCCUUUUAAAGCCGGUCUCAGUUCGGAUCGGGGUCUGCAACUCGACCCCGUGAAGUCGGAGUCGCUAGUAA
RNAcentral lists this ribosomal RNA (755 nucleotides) under uncultured Mycobacterium sp. RNAcentral describes it as "bacterial SSU rRNA". It matches the Rfam family "Bacterial small subunit ribosomal RNA", at positions 588 to 1341 of the family's 1533-position model. Lineage: Bacteria; Bacillati; Actinomycetota; Actinomycetes; Mycobacteriales; Mycobacteriaceae. The record is from RNAcentral.